UACGUAGGGUGCGAGCGUUGUCCGGAAUUAUUGGGCGUAAAGAGCUUGUAGGCGGUUUGUCGCGUCUGCUGUGAAAAUCCGGGGCUCAACUCCGGACUUGCAGUGGGUACGGGCAGGCUAGAGUGCGGUAGGGGAGACUGGAAUUCCUGGUGUAGCGGUGGAAUGCGCAGAUAUCAGGAGGAACACCGAUGGCGAAGGCAGGUCUCUGGGCCACUACUGACGCUGAGAAGCGAAAGCCAGGGGAGCAAACGGG
This 253-nucleotide ribosomal RNA is filed under the name uncultured bacterium. RNAcentral's name for it is "partial 16S ribosomal RNA". It matches the Rfam family "Bacterial small subunit ribosomal RNA", at positions 524 to 776 of the family's 1533-position model. The record is from RNAcentral.